AUUUAUAUAGUAUAAAAAGUAUUUUUAAUUUCCAAUUAAAAGGUUUAUUAAUUAAUAUAAAUA
RNAcentral lists this transfer RNA (63 nucleotides) under Aphidius gifuensis. Its description in RNAcentral is "tRNA-Gly". Lineage: Eukaryota; Metazoa; Arthropoda; Insecta; Hymenoptera; Braconidae. The record is from RNAcentral.